This 351-nucleotide ribosomal RNA is filed under the name Gigaspora albida. Its description in RNAcentral is "partial large subunit ribosomal RNA". Lineage: Eukaryota; Fungi; Glomeromycota; Glomeromycetes; Diversisporales; Gigasporaceae. The record is from RNAcentral.
AGAGUUAAAUAGUACGUGAAAUUGUUGAAAGGGAAACGAUUGAAGUCAGUCAUGCCAGUGGGAAUCAACUUAGGGGAAACUCUAAGUGCACUUCUUUGCUUGGCAGGUCAACGUCGAUUUUGGAUGUCAUAAAAUGAUUGGGGGAAGGUAGCUCUUUCUGGAGUGUUAUAGCCCUUGGUAGAUGUGAUGUCUGGGAUCGAGGAUUGCAAUGGAUACCUUUAGGGCUAGCCACCUGAUCUCUAAUCAGUAUUGGGUUACGGACAGCAUGCUGACCGUGAUUCAAUUAUUGGUUAAAAGAUUAGAGCGUGCAUAAAUUCAUUAAGGACGUUGACGUAAUGGCUUUAAACGACC